RNAcentral lists this ribosomal RNA (539 nucleotides) under uncultured archaeon. RNAcentral describes it as "bacterial SSU rRNA". It matches the Rfam family "Archaeal small subunit ribosomal RNA", at positions 461 to 997 of the family's 1478-position model. The record is from RNAcentral.
GCAGCCGCGGUAACACCGGCGGCCCGAGUGGUGAUCGUGAUUAUUGGGUCUAAAGGGUCCGUAGCCGGUUUGGUCAGUCCUCCGGGAAAUCUGAUAGCUCAACGUAUUAGGCUUUCGGGGGAUACUGCCAGACUUGGAACCGGGAGAGGUAAGAGGUACUACAGGGGUAGGAGUGAAAUCUUGUAAUCCCUGUGGGACCACCUGUGGCGAAAGCGUCUUACCAGAACGGGUUCGACGGUGAGGGACGAAAGCUGGGGGCACGAGCCGGAUUAGAUACCCGGGUAGUCCCAGCCGUAAACGAUGCUCGCUAGGUGUCAGGCAUGGCGCGACCGUGUCUGGUGCCGCAGGGAAGCCGUGAAGCGAGCCACCUGGGAAGUACGGCCGCAAGGCUGAAACUUAAAGGAAUUGGCGGGGGAGCACAACAACGGGUGGAGCCCUGCGGUUUAAUUGGACUCAACGCCGGACAACUCACCGGGGGCGACAGCAAUAUGUAGGCCAAGCUGAAGACUUUGCCUGAAUCGCUGAGGAGUGGUGCAUGG